This 5874-nucleotide long non-coding RNA is filed under the name Citrus sinensis (sweet orange). Its description in RNAcentral is "long non-coding RNA (CSIN_LNC001933)". Lineage: Eukaryota; Viridiplantae; Streptophyta; Magnoliopsida; Sapindales; Rutaceae. The record is from RNAcentral.
UAUGGUGAAGGAGACGACACAGACUUCGUCCUCAGCCCACGCGCGUAUGGAAGAAUGGCACUUACAGAUAAGUCAGAAGAGCUUUAUACUUUUGGUGUCGUCGACGUUGAAUUCCUGAGAGUCCCUUGCCGGUUCAGAGGCUACAACCUCAAGUUCAAGGUCCAUGAAAACAGCAAGUACCCACAGUACUUGGCCGUAUCCAUGCUGUACGUAGGUGGCCAAAAUGACGUCCAAGCAGUUGAAAUAUGGCAGGUAAUUACUUACAAAUUAACUUCUAAACAAUUGAUUUUUAGCCCGUCCAUCGCAUGUAAUGCUUUUGUUGGUGCAGGAGGAUUGUAAAGACUGGGUGCCGAUGAGAAGGGCUUUCGGUGCAGUAUUUGACAUCUCUAAUCCACCACCAGGAGCAAUUAAUUUGAGGUUUCAAGUGAGUGGCAGCGCGGGGCUCACAUGGGUUGUGGCAAACAAUGCUAUUCCAAAAGUAUGGAAGGCUGGAGUUGCUUAUGAGUCAGCAAUUCAGCUUGCAUAAAUUUGAGAUAUCCCAAGCUUUAUUAUGACUGGUUCCUGGUUAUCAGCUUCUUAAUGUCAUUUAGAUAUUCUAGUAUGUUGUUGCCCAGCAUCCGUGUCUCCUCAAAACUUAACUAGUUGCUAAAUAAAUAGUGGGAUUGUGUACUUUAAGAUCUUUUGAUCUAAGGAGAAAAUUAAUAAAAUUCAGCUCUCGUCAAAAUAAAACCGCUCAUACGCCUCGUUAGUGGUGUCUUUGUGGGUGUGUCUUAUUGAAUUUCUUGUGAUUGUUUAAAUAACUCCAUUAUAUUUCCUCUACUAACAGUAAUCAGUAAAAUUGAUGUAUUAUCAAACAAUAUACAUCGUCGAUAAUAUUUCUUAGUGAUUGCAACACGUUAAAAAAUAUAUUUCAAAUGUAAAAAUUGUAAAAUAAAUUGUCGAGCCAUUCCGUUUUAGAAUUGGAGAUUAGCCAAAUCUUUUGUCAAUUGUUUAUAAAAGUAUGAUAAAUAUCUACCAACUACUCUUUGUUUUGCACUUUAUAAAAAAUAUACUAAAACUUUUUUCUUUUGUGGCUAUCCACGUAAAGUUUACAAAAUUAUCACUUUUUUACUUUUUCAUUAACAUAAUUAAAGAUUUAAUAGAAUAUUAAUUAAACGACCACUAUAUCGUUAAAAUAUUAUUUAAUCCUAACUAGUAGCUAAAUGAUGAAAAAAAAUUCCAAUUUGUAGCUGUUGGAACCAAUAGCAGCUAUAAAUUUAGUUAGAUAAAUUCAUCAAACCUACUAAUUUAACAAUAUAAAAUCACCAAAAUAACCACCAUAACUAAUUUGUAAUUCAUUUGCAACAUAAAUUCAGAACCUCUGCUCAUAUAAUCCAUCCUAAAUAAUCUUUGACAACAAUAACAAGUCUUGGAAAGCAAUAAAUCACCAAUAAAAACAAUCAUAGUUAUCCAAAAUACAUUUUAAGGAAACAUAAAAGUAGUUAUAAAAAACUUUAAACAUUAUACCUUGCUUCCGUCGAUAAAAAAAGAACAAUGUAAAACCAAUUAUGAUGAAUAUAGAGUUUACAAUUUGUUUCCAUCAAUUCAAAAUUAAACAUAUUCUAAAAUUAUGUAAAACAACAAUUAAUAAAUAAUCUAUUUACAUUUAGGGAUAAAAUAGUUUUUUUAUCAAUAUCCUAUUAAAUCAUCUAAUGCUAUUAAUGGAAAAGUAGAAAAAUAAUAAAAAACUGCAAAAGAAAAGUUUUUGGCGUAUUUCUAAUAAAGCUUAGAAUAUAUUUACCAAUAAAACUACAUAUAAUAAAUUCUUCAACUAACGUACUACAUUAAUUUCAUCUUCAGCUCUUCCGGUAAGCACUGGCUAACGAAUGAUUUUAGGUACACCAUAAAAGGAAUCCAUUUCUCCUCUUUCGGAAGUGUUGUAGUCUUACAGGCAACGACCAGGACAGAACACCCCUUGGAAGCAUCAGAAUACUUACACAUAUUAAAGCAGCGACCUUUAACAGAAUUUGACAUUUGGCAUUGGAAGGGAAGAAUGCAUCAAACGAGGGCUGCAUUGACUGUGUAAAGUUCUCCAGAAUCAGAGCAACUGUGGGUAAAGGACCGUUAACUUGCACAAGUUAUCAGCUGUUUUUUUCAUUUUGACGCAGUUACUGGUUCGAGUCGUACAUGGGAGUAACAGUUUAUAUGCAUCCAUUAAAAAUCAGAUUAAUGGAACAAGUGAUAUGACUAACAGCAGGGCACUUAAAUUUAAAUGUAUUGUCCAACAAACAAAAUACAGCAUAAUGCAAUUUCACGGACGUACAUACAGACAGACACAUACAUCCUCAUAUUUGUGAGCAUAGGUGAGCCAGAAAGAUACUAGGACUUGGAACAAGUGAUAUAACUAACAGGGCACUUGAAUGUACCUUUCAGAUGAAAAUCAAAACUACUACUGUUAACCUCCCUCAGUACAACCGACCAGUGCAUUCUGAAGAACCACAAAAGCAACUCUUUUUCUUAAUGUUGCCAGAUGAAUCAUAAACUUGAUCUAUCACGUAAUUGUAAUGAUAAGUCAGCUCUUGCAGGGGAGGAAUGUUCUCAGCAGCAAAGAGCAUUAUGUGAGGCGUUCUCUUGUCCUCAUGAUCAUAAAGGACGUUUUGGGCAUAAAGAUUAGGCGAACAACUGUGGUUAACAAAUCUCCCCACAUUGCCAUACUCCACUGCAUCAAUGGUAAAUCCACCAUCCUCCACAACUCCACAAGAACUCAAUGGUGCAUCAGGCAUAACAUUCGAAAGUCCACCCCAAAGAGAACCAUCAUUAUAAUUAUUCCCAAUAUCAAAUAGAUACUCAUCAUUACUGGUUCUUCUUUCCGCUUCCUUCUCUUCAAGGAGCUCCCCCGCGUACUCACAGAUAAAACUUCCCGAAGGAAUGGAAUUUAGGGAUCUCACACCCCAUCCCCGUGCUUCAGUUUUGAAGAUCUCCAUCUGAAAUUUGAUACCCUGCUGGCUGACUCUAUUAUAGCAAGAAGCUUCAUUACUCUUUUUCAUUGUUUCACUGGCUUGCAUACAAAUACAACAUUAUGCAGGCUAAUUAGAUAAAAGGGAAUGGCUAGGGCCGACAGACGGAUGACGAGGAGCAUAGCUCACCUACCUCAUCUUCCAAAAAAUAGUAAUUUUCCAUUUAUUAAUUGUUCUACAAGCCUCCUCUCUCGUGCAAUAAGUACGUAUGAUUAAUGAGUGCUUCCGUCCCUAAUUGUUAUAGCUAAAUACGUUUGUCUGGCUUGACCCGUUUACUAGUGCGUUACAACCAAAAGACUGAUGGUGAUCGAGUGGGUUAAUCCAGUUGUUGUGAGCCUAUAGCAUUUGCUUUUGACUCGACAAAGCAAUUUAAAAAAACGCCAUUUUGGAUACCGGUACGUCACGUACUAAAUCCAAUUGCUUGGUGCGGUCUCCCUAUUAGCCUUCGGUUCUUGACUCAAUAAGUAAUUUCCAGCUAGUUUCAAUAGGUUUUAAUUCCACCAUUUACUUACCAUAAUGAUCGAGAAUAGGGAUGGCAAUGGGGUGAGGUGGAUGUGGAGAGGCUUAUCUUAUUCCUCAUUCUAUUAAAAAUGUCACCUCUAUUUUUCACCUCAUUCUCCAUUAAAUUUAGAGGAACGGGGACAAAAAAUCUUUAUAUGGGGAAUAAUUUCCUCAUUCCUAUCUCAUUACCCGUUUAUUUAUUUCAUAAUAAGUAUGGAUACGUGGUUUUAGUACAUUAAAAAUUAGAGACUUAAAUAAAAUUAUUAUCAUAUUAUAAAGUAUUUAAAUUAUUUUAAAAAAUUUCCAAAAUUUUGAAACAAUAUCAAAACUGAUAUCAAAACUGAAAAAUGUUUGGAGAGAGCAUCACUUAAUAAUGUUUUAGAGUUGAAUAAUAAUUAUAUUGUAAGGUUUUCUUUUAAUUAUAACCUGUUUAUAUUAGGUAAAAAUUAACAAGAAAAUUUGUUAACCGACAUUGUAUUUGAUAAAACAAAAAAUAUUAAAUAAAAAUUAAAAAAUAUUUAUAUUUAAAUGGAGAGUGAGGUGGUGGUGGGGUGGAGAAUACAAAACCAAAUCCCAUCCCAUUAAGAGUUUGAGGAUUAUUUAUCCCUCGUUUCCUACUCUAUUCCCUAAAAAUUAUUUAAACCCCAUGAGAACCAAACCCGUGUAAGAUUUUGCCAUCUCUAAUCGCGAAAUCUUGAGUUUUUCCUUGCACCCAAGUCACAAGGUGUGCGCUAUAAGAUCUUUUGGCAUAAUUCAACUGGUUGUAGAUAUUUUCACCCAAAUUCGAAUAGCAAUAAAGAAUAAUGAUUGUUAUUUAGUGGUUUAAGUUUUUCAUCUCCAUUCAAUUUUUAAAAUAAAUAAAUAAAUAGUUUAUGCUAUUAGAACGUCUAAACGAAGCAAACCCAGACCAGUAAUUAACAAUUACAAAACAAUUACUUGGUUGAUAAUAAUGGCAUGGGAGGUGAUUUUAUGAUUUUACUGCUAUUUCCUCUACUAACAGUAAUCAGUAAAAUUGAUGUAUUAUCAAACAAUAUAAAUCGUCGAUAAUAUUUCUUGGUGAUUGCAACAUGUUAAAAAAUAUUUUUCAAACUGCUGUACGGCCAAGGCGGAUGUACGGUACAGCAGUUAUGAUAAUGAGUCCAAUUCAAUUCAAAUAAGGGUCUUGAGGGGUCGAUAAUGGGGUCUACAUUUACGCAUCAUCAAUCUAAUCUAACUCUCUAGUCCCAAGACGAAGAAAAGAGGUGGCAAUUUCCCCUUAGCUGCAGCCCUCAAGGCUUCUACUAUAAAUAUGGCCAUUAACAUUUGUUAGCAACCCAUCUCAGAAGCAUCCUCCUUCGUACUGCUAGCAAAGAUUUUGAUAUUUUGCAAAUGGGGUUAUGUCAAUACUACCUUCUUUCCGUCGUGCUGCUUUUGCCUGCAUUGUGUUACUCUCAGUUCACAUUCACAAGUUCUAGAGCUUCAUUCUAUGGUAGCCCUGACGGCUUGGGGACACCAGGUAUGUAAAAAUCUCACCUUUAUAAAGCUAUGUACAUUAAACUCGUGCACAAGUUGACGCGAACGAAUCGUUCAUUUCAUUAUGCUUUAGAGAAUUUUUGUUUUGGUAUUUGUUUAUCUUUUAGAUUAACUAAUGUUCAUGUCGAUGAUUCAUCAGCUGGUGCUUGCGGGUUUGGUGCAUAUGGAAAAACUGUAAAUGAUGCUAACGUGGCCGGUGUGUCGAACCUUUGGAAUAAUGGAACUGCUUGUGGAACUUGCUAUCAGGUACUGAUUAUUAACUUUCAACCCACUCAAUCAUUGCAGUUUAUUGUAAAGCUAUAUAAUAAAUGUGUAAAAUGAACGAAUUGCUAAGACGGGUAAGCCUAUGCAUGCGUGAAAGGAACUUGAAAACUUUAUUUAUUUAAAUUGUAUUGUUUAUAUAUAUAUGUAAGUAGUUGCAUGCAUAUUCUUCGUAAGACUGCUUAAAUCAUUUCAAAUUCAACAUCGUCAACAAUUUUAUUACCACUAGUAAUUCUUUAGGUUUUGUACCAUCAAUUAAUAAUGAUUAGUUAAUUAAUUAACUUCAGGUCAGAUGCAAUGUACCAGAAGUUUGCACAGAUUAUGGGGUGUACGUGGUGGUGACCGACUAUGGUGAAGGAGACGACACAGACUUCGUCCUCAGCCCACGCGCGUAUGGAAGAAUGGCACUUACAGAUAAGUCAGAAGAGCUUUAUACUUUUGGUGUCGUCGACGUUGAAUUCCUGAGAGUCCCUUGCCGGUUCAGAGGCUACAACGUCAUGUUCAAGGUCCAUGAAAACAGCAAGUACCCACAGUACUUGGCCGUAGCCACGCUGUACGUAGGUGGCCAAAAUGACGUCCUAGCAGUUGAAAUGUGGCAGGUAAU